Molecule: long non-coding RNA, 471 nt
Organism: Astatotilapia calliptera (eastern happy)
Lineage: Eukaryota; Metazoa; Chordata; Actinopteri; Cichliformes; Cichlidae
Source: Ensembl
UUUUCCAUAGAAAUGCUUCAUUUUGUUUGUUUCAAGUUCUGAAGGGGUUUGUUGAAUCUUGUUUAUGUAAACGGAGCCAUUUAGUUACGUAAAUGUGUCAAUUAGAAGUGUGAGGAGGUUUUGUGUCUUUUUAAUCAUCUGUGUAGAGUUUUAGAUCCCUCAGUUUAAGUGAGAGGUACAGGCUGGGCUAAUUGGAGGGAAAUUGAUGGCCCUAUUUAAAGCCAGAUUCAGAGGAGAGGAGAGGUGAGCUGUGUUACCAGGUCCAUGAACUGAUGGGUUUUGUUAAUCGAGUUACUUUUGGGGAAAGUUUUGUUAAGUUACACAUUAAACGGAGUUCAUUGUAAAUAAAUUGCUCACGUCUGCAAACCUGAAAUUUCUGUGUAGUCUGCUUCGCUACAACCUUCCUUGACAUUCGAGUCGGACUACCUCAACAUGUUUGUUUGAUUCAUUUCUUAAUGUGAGAACAAUCAG